Coffea eugenioides is the source of this 107-nucleotide small nucleolar RNA. The record is from RefSeq and is a predicted model, not a curated record. Lineage: Eukaryota; Viridiplantae; Streptophyta; Magnoliopsida; Gentianales; Rubiaceae.
AAACUAUGGUGAGGGCAUCUUCGUUGUAACUCUAGAUAGCGUUGCCAAGCCUCAUCCAAUGUGUCUCCUUCCUGUUGAGAAAAACUAGUUAUAUCCAUAUGAAAUUU